ACUAUCAAGGCCAAAUGCGCCACCAAACUUUGUCUUCUAUUGAGUCCCCAAAUUAUUUUUUUUUUCUUUUGCCUGAUCAGCCAUGGUCUCGGAAACAAGCUGAGCGUCAUGAUAGAAAUUUUUCACACAGCUUCGGAUAGUGACGUUGAAGAAACCAUUCCUUUCAGAAAUCAUCGAACGGCUUGCAUGUCAAUCUAGAUUUCCCCCAGUCAGCGUAAGCUUUCCUGAGCUUCAUACUCACCGCUCAGACAGUUCUGAAUAUGGUAAUGAUCAUGAAACAUCAGUGUUGUUCCUUAACGCUUUAAUAUUAGGGAAUGGGUGAAUGAGGAUGGCCUAAGAAUUGGGAUCCUCUGAAUCAUAUUCCACCUGAUUAGAGAAAAGAGAAAGACAAGCCAGACUAGUUCUUCCUAAGGUCUCACAAGCAUUCAGAUUCGCACUUCAGAUCAACCCAACUAAAAUGCAUGUCUCUACAUCCAAACGCACCACUCACGCUUCUGAAGAAUCCAGAGAAUCUCUCACAAAAUGAACCCACAUUUUUCAACGACUCGUGACCUGGCUCCACAUCAAAAAAUUCAGAUAAACACUUCGAUGAUCUACAAAUAGGCGAAAACAAAACAACCAAAUUCGACCGAACAACUGGGUAAUUCAGGACACCAUCUGUUACAGGAUCACACAUUACCGAGUCCCAAGCAUAGUCGUGUACAAUCUGUUGCACCGAUGCUGCAAGAUGUGAGGCCUUUGGAGGAAAGGGAUCCAAUGGAUUGUAAAAAUGAGGCAGAGAAGUGAGGGUUUGUGAGAGAGAUUGGAGGGUGGAGGUGGAGUCACUGAAUGAGAGAGUGAGGGAGGGAUUGGGGACAAAACGGUGGAGUUUAGAGGAUGAAAGAAGAGGAGAAAGUGAGGAAAAGAACAGCUUAAAGCAAAAGAGAGAGGACGAGAGAGGAGGGAAGGUGAGAAGGAUUUUGGUUGAUGUGAGAAGCGAAUUGAUGUAAGGGGUGGGAUCCUCGAGAUGAAGAAGUGGGUUGAGGUCUAUGAGGAGAACCAGGCGUUCCGUUAUACUGUAACCUGUGAUUAUAUCAAUGGCCUUUCCCGCCAUUGAAGACAAAGGCUGAUGAACGGUGACUUCGAAUCGCUCAAUCGAAUGUGGUGCCGGCGGGGAAGAGAGAGAAGAGAGCGUCUGGAUUGGAAGGCAGAAGGGAAAGAGAAGGAUGAAACUGUGUCGUUUCGCACAACCACGUCCGCAUGGAUGCCCAGUGUGGAUUGGCGGGAUGUAAUAGAUUGGCGGAAAUCACCGUUGAUGGAAAUCAUCAGUAAAGAAUGAAGAAAACAGAGGAUUCUCUUGAUGGAAUAUUCAUUUCCCUUUACUUACUAGCCAAAAUCCUCCAGUGACAUGGGAUUGGAGCAUAGGCUUGAUGAAAC
Prosopis cineraria is the source of this 1416-nucleotide long non-coding RNA. RefSeq lists it as uncharacterized. The transcript is spliced from 3 exons. The record is from RefSeq and is a predicted model, not a curated record. Lineage: Eukaryota; Viridiplantae; Streptophyta; Magnoliopsida; Fabales; Fabaceae.